Lachnoclostridium sp. An118 is the source of this 350-nucleotide non-coding RNA. It matches the Rfam family "Bacterial RNase P class A". Rfam says of the family: Ribonuclease P (RNase P) is a ubiquitous endoribonuclease, found in archaea, bacteria and eukarya as well as chloroplasts and mitochondria. Its best characterised activity is the generation of mature 5'-ends of tRNAs by cleaving the 5'-leader elements of precursor-tRNAs. Lineage: Bacteria; Bacillati; Bacillota; Clostridia; Lachnospirales; Lachnospiraceae. The record is from Rfam.
CAGGUAUGACAGGUGAUCGCGGCUGCGCACGCCGAAAGGCAGCAGGUGAGGAAAGUCCGGGCUUCACAGGGCAGGAUGCCGGAUAACGUCCGGUGGAGGCAACUCCAAGGCCAGUGCAACAGAAAUGUACCGCCGGGAUCUUCCCGGUAAGGGUGGAAGGGCAGUGUAAGAGACUACCGCCCUCCUGGUAACAGGAGGGGCACAUGUAAACCCCAUCCGAAGCAAGACCGGAACGAGACAAUGCGGCGGCCCGCCGCGUCUCAGGUUGGUCGCUCGAGCCUGCCGGCGACGGCAGGCCUAGAUAGAUGAUCACCCAACGACAUAACCCGGCUUAUCGUCAUGCCUGGUUU